This 236-nucleotide small nucleolar RNA is filed under the name Leishmania donovani. RNAcentral describes it as "H/ACA box snoRNA LD33Cs1'H1". The record is from RNAcentral. Lineage: Eukaryota; Euglenozoa; Kinetoplastea; Trypanosomatida; Trypanosomatidae.
AACCGCAGACAUAGUACCCUUCACGUGCGUUCGACAGAACACCAAGCGAUUGGGCGAAAGGGGGCGCUGAAGAGCGAGACGGAAAUCGCGGAGGGCUGAGGUGCGCACGCGCUUCGGACCCCCUCUUUUUCUCCCCUGCCUCCUUUCUACGUGGCCCCCCUCCUCCUUUUCCCCUCCGCCGGUGUCUCGAGAACACUUCUUGUGCUGCUGUUGGGCCUCCCUCUCGUGGAAGAACA